Molecule: ribosomal RNA, 419 nt
Filed under: bacterium
Lineage: Bacteria
Description: partial 16S ribosomal RNA
Rfam family: Bacterial small subunit ribosomal RNA
Source: RNAcentral
UGGGGGAUAUUGCACAAUGGGCGAAAGCCUGAUGCAGCGACGCCGCGUGGGGGAUGAAGGCCUUCGGGUUGUAAACUUCUUUUGCUCUGAACAAGGCAUGCUAAUGGGUGUGUUGAGUGUAGGGGUUGAUUAGCGCCGGCUAACUACGUGCCAGCAGCCGCGGUAAUACGUAGGGCGCGAGCGUUGUCCGGAAUUAUUGGGCGUAAAGGGCUUGUAGGUGGCUGGUUGCGUCUGUCGUGAAAGCUCAUGGCUUAACUGUGGGUUUGCGGUGGGUACGGGCUGGCUUGAGUGCAGUAGGGGAGGCUGGAAUUCCUGGUGUAGCGGUGGAAUGCGCAGAUAUCAGGAGGGAUAGCGGUGGAGAAGGCGGGUCUCUGGGCUGUUACUGACACUGAGGAGCGAAAGCAUGGGGAGCGAACAGG